AUGGAGGCAGUACCACUGGAAGAAGUUCAGAACUGUGUGGUGAAGCUGAGGAGCAAUCCUCAACGGCGCAAGAAUCAAGUAUAUGUUGGCUGUGGGGCUGGAUUUGGGGGUGACCGGCCGAUGGCUGCUUUGAAGUUAUUGGAGAGAGUCGAAGAACUUAACUACAUAGUACUUGAGUGUUUGGCGGAGCGAACACUUGCAGACCGCUACCAAGUUAUGCUGUCAGGAGGGAAAGGAUUUGAUCCCCGAGUUAAGGAGUGGCUGUCCAUGCUUCUACCCUUGGCUUUGGAUAGAGAAGUUUGCAUAAUAACUAACAUGGGCGCAAUUGAUCCACCUGGAGCACAGAAAGAAAUACUGGACCUUGCUUCUAGUUUGGGACUGGAGAUAACAGUCGCUGUAGCUUAUGAAUCAUCGAUUUCAGGUCCAGAAAACUCAGUGUUAUGGAAUGAAUCAAUGGGAGUGGCAGAGGGAAGAAGCACAUAUCUUGGUGCAGCCCCCAUUGUACAUUGCCUGGAAAAUUACAAACCACAUGUCGUCAUUACUUCUCGGGUUGCUGAUGCUGCACUAUUCUUAGCACCUAUGGUCUACGAAUUGGGUUGGAAUUGGAAUGACUUUGAGAAGUUGGCACAAGGAACAUUAGCUAGCCAUCUUCUGGAAUGUGGUUGUCAACUCACCGGAGGAUAUUUCAUGCACCCUGGAGAUGCAUAUCGAGAUUUUUCUUUUGAGCAGCUUCGGGAUUUGUCUCUUCCAUAUGCUGAAGUGAGUUACAAAGGAGAAGUUUGUGUUGGCAAGGCAAAGGGUAGCGGAGGUCUUCUGAGCUAUAGCACUUGUGCAGAACAGCUUCUGUAUGAAGUUGGAGACCCUGCAAACUACAUCACUCCUGAUCUGGUUGUAGAUUUCAGUGAUGUGCAGUUCCAUCAAAUAUCACAAGACAAGGUUCACUGUAAAGGAGCAAAACCAUCUGAUCUUCGUCGGCCCGAGAAACUCCUCCAAUUGUUUCCUACUCCAAAUGGAUGGAAAGGCUGGGGAGAGAUAUCAUACGGGGGACAAGAGUGUUUAAGGCGCGCUCAGGCAGCAGAAUACCUAGUUAGGUCAUGGAUGAACGAAAGAUAUCCCGGCAUCGAAGAGAAAAUUAUCGCAUAUGUUAUGGGAUAUGAUAGCUUGAAAGCUAAUGGAGGUAACAAUGACAAUCACUCUUCCAAGGAAGUGAUAGAUGUUAGACUUCGGAUGGAUGGGCUAUUUGAGCAGGAGGAGCAUGCUGAUGGAUUCGUUGAGGAGUUCAUUGCACUUUAUACAAAUGGUCCAGCUGGGGGUGGUGGCAUCAGCACUGGACGAAAGAACGAGCUAAUUCUGCACAAGUUGCUGAUUGAUAGGGAAAAUGUCUUCUGGCAAGCCAAUGCGAAGAACUCAUCCAUUCAUGGUCCACAGAACCGGUCUACAGAUGCCAAGAAGAAGAAGAGGUACACAGGAAGUUCCGCGACGGGCAUUCAACAACGUUGGAAUACAAAGCUGGACGAACCAGCACCUCCUGUAUCUGCUCCAGCUCCAUCCGGAUCGGAGAUCGCCCUGUACCGUGUGGCCCACAGCAGAGCCGGUGACAAGGGGAACGAUCUGAAUCUUUCCAUCAUCCCUCAUUUCCUGGACGACAUUGGCCGGCUCAGGACAGUGAUCACUCCUGAGUGGGUGAAGGCCUCUCUUUCGCCCCUGCUUGAUCAUUCGUCGUUUCCAGACGACGGAGCGAUCGAGCGUCGAAACAAUCUACUUGAGCGUGUCUUGGUUGAGAUUUAUGAUGUCCCGGGCAUCAGCUCAUUGAACAUUGUGGUGAGGAAUAUCCUCGAUGGCGGCGUGAACUGCUCCAGAAGGGUGGACCGGCACGGCAAGACCCUGUCAGAUAUCAUCCUGUGCCGGAAAGUCAUCUUGCCUCCGUAG
RNAcentral lists this ribosomal RNA (1929 nucleotides) under Triticum aestivum (bread wheat). Its description in RNAcentral is "partial small subunit ribosomal RNA". The record is from RNAcentral. Lineage: Eukaryota; Viridiplantae; Streptophyta; Magnoliopsida; Poales; Poaceae.